Long non-coding RNA from Brienomyrus brachyistius, 1800 nucleotides. RefSeq lists it as uncharacterized. The record is from RefSeq and is a predicted model, not a curated record. The transcript has 3 exons. NCBI's taxonomy places the organism in Eukaryota, Metazoa, Chordata, Actinopteri, Osteoglossiformes, Mormyridae.
UGGGAAGAUCUGCGCAACUCCUGAUUGGCUGGGAAGGAAAAACCACAACAGACUGUAAAAACACCGGUUUCGGCGUAAACGAAACCGAAAGUGCGGAACUUCACUAGACGUGGAGCGGAAGAUCGGACCAGCCUAAGGAAGAGGGGAAAUGGAUAACAUCGUAAAGGAGGUCAUUCAAUUGCUAUCUAAGUCCCGUGAAGGACUUAAAGUCUCCGAAUUCAGUGGUGCUUAUCAGAAACAUUUUUGCAAGACGCUGGUCCUCUCCAGCCUCGGGUUCAAGAAACUGGUUGAUCUUUUCCAUUACAUGAGGGAUAAUGUGGAGCUUAUGGAGUCAGGCGGGGAGCAAAUUGUCAGGAUCAAGUCAGAAAAUACACACCAAGCGGAAGCUUAUUACCGUAAUCAACCUGAAAGCAAUGGAGAACGCUUUACACUUCUUUCAAAGCCUGGACUCAAUGGAAUGGAAGCUAGAACCAAGUCAUAUAGAGAUGCUCUUCAGCAUCGAACUCAGCAAGAACCGAAUAAGGUUACAACAUCAUCUGAAUCGGGGGCUUGCUUACCAGAGCCAGCUCCUGUAGAGACUGACCAGAAAGCCAAGCUGAAGGAAUCAAUUCGGAACCUUCUGGAACAACAUCCAAAUGGUGUCCCAUUGUCACAGGUUCGGAAGUCCUGCCCUAUGAUUUAUGACCCAGCUCUUUUAGAUAGCUUCGUGUCUACUAAACAUCUGCUGGCUUCCCUGACGGAUGUACUGGAACUGAGAGGUAUUGGUGUGCAGACCCACAUCCACCCAGCUGGUCAAUCGAACCUGACUGCAAUAUAGUUAUAUACUAUUUUCUGGAACAGGCAUAGCUUUCAUUAACUAAACAUAAGUGACGUGUGUAUCGUGUACUGAUGUCAUACAAAAUCAUAAGCAAAAUGGCCAUAAUUUAAAAAAAAAAAAAAACCAUAAAGCUCUGGUAGAAAUUAUUUUGGAAGUUUUUUGGAAAAUUUGAGCAUUCCUUUUAAGAUGUUUGAUGUAAAUUUUUGUUAGAUUCAUUGUGUAGAAUGUUUACAAGCCUUGUAUUUUAACAGAUAUUGUUUAGGCAUUACUUAUAACAAUCACCGGUAUCAUAAUUCAUCAUUACAAUACAAGAACUGUGAGCAUUAUCAUUAGACAGUUUACAAACCUGUAACAGAAUGAAGUAAGAGCAUAAUGUGAAUUGUAAAAAAUGAAGUGACCUUUAUAUUUUUUGCUGAUAUUUUUGUGGAUUUUUGUGGAUUUAAAUUAUACUCAAUUUAAACUUUAAAUACUCAAGGUUUGUGUCUGUGAGCUGUAUAAAACCAGUGUUUGGUAUCAACAAUAUCACGAAGAUUAUUUAAUUCUUUUAAUUUCAAACUUUUAAAAACGAUGCUGGAUUUGUUUUCUCUAAUGUCCUAGAAGGUUGUGUGCCUCUCCUGUCUCUGUAGAUUACAUGUCCCUGCUUGUGCGAGUUCCCUCUGCAGUCUCCACUUUCCUUGCUCAGUCCCAACAAAUGCACAUCUAAAUUCCCGUGAGUAUGCGGGUGUCCCUGAGUAUGCGGGUGUCCCUGAGUAUGCGGGUGUCCCUGAGUAUGUGGGUGUCCCAUCCAGUGUGUCUCUUGCAACCCCAGACUGGAAAGCCGUCAGGAAAUAUCGAUGGACAAUAUCAAUAUUCCCCCUGACUGAUUAGGAUAAGCGGUUAGACGAUGGAUGGAUGGAAUAUUCAUAUAUGUAAUAAGUAUAGCAAAUUCACAUCCACUGUUUCCACGUAAAGGAAAAAAGAGAAAUAUACAACUUACAGAAAUA